AUUGAGAAUUAAGAAUUUCGGAUUCUUUUCUGAGGUAAUCUCUCAUUU
RNAcentral lists this transfer RNA (48 nucleotides) under Walchia hayashii. RNAcentral's name for it is "tRNA-Arg". The record is from RNAcentral. Lineage: Eukaryota; Metazoa; Arthropoda; Arachnida; Trombidiformes; Trombiculidae.